Molecule: ribosomal RNA, 433 nt
Filed under: uncultured bacterium
Lineage: Bacteria
Description: partial 16S ribosomal RNA
Rfam family: Bacterial small subunit ribosomal RNA
Source: RNAcentral
AACGAACGCUGGCGGCAUGCCUAACACAUGCAAGUCGAACGAGACCUUCGGGUCUAGUGGCGCAAGGGUGCGUAACGCGUGGGAACCUGCCCUUAGGUUCGGAAUAACUCCCCGAAAGGGGUGCUAAUACCGGAUAAUGUCUUCGGACCAAAGAUUUAUCGCCUUUGGAUGGGCCCGCGUUGGAUUAGCUAGUUGGUAGGGUAAAAGCCUACCAAGGCGACGUUCCUUAGGUGGUCUGAGAGGAUGAUCAGCCACACUGGGACUGAGACACGGCCCAGACUACUACGGGAGGCAGCAGUGGGGAAUAUUGGACAAUGGGCGAAAGCCUGAUCCAGCAAUGCCGCGUGAGUGAUGAAGGCCUUAGGGUUGUAAAGCUCUUUUACCCGGGAUGAUAAUGACAGUACCGGGAGAAUAAGCUCCGGCUAACUCCGUG